GGUGGCUCAGUGGUAGAGUGCUUGCCUUGCGUGCAUGAGGCUCUGGGUUCAAUUCCUUGACACCA
Molecule: transfer RNA, 65 nt
Filed under: Dipodomys ordii (Ord's kangaroo rat)
Lineage: Eukaryota; Metazoa; Chordata; Mammalia; Rodentia; Heteromyidae
Rfam family: tRNA
About the family: Transfer RNA (tRNA) molecules are approximately 80 nucleotides in length. Their secondary structure includes four short double-helical elements and three loops (D, anti-codon, and T loops). Further hydrogen bonds mediate the characteristic L-shaped molecular structure. tRNAs have two regions of fundamental functional importance: the anti-codon, which is responsible for specific mRNA codon recognition, and the 3' end, to which the tRNAs corresponding amino acid is attached (by aminoacyl-tRNA synthetases). tRNAs cope with the degeneracy of the genetic code in two manners: having more than one tRNA (with a specific anti-codon) for a particular amino acid; and 'wobble' base-pairing, i.e. permitting non-standard base-pairing at the 3rd anti-codon position.
Source: Rfam by way of RNAcentral